UGCGAAUGGCUCAUUAAAUCAGUUAUCGUUUAUUUGAUAGUACCUUACUACUUGGAUAACCGUGGUAAUUCUAGAGCUAAUACAUGCUGAAAACCCCAACUUCGGGAGGGGUGUAUUUAUUAGAUAAAAAACCAACGCCCUUCGGGGCUUCUUGGUGAUUCAUGAUAACUUCACGGAUCGCAUGGCCUUGCGCCGGCGACGGUUCAUUCAAAUUUCUGCCCUAUCAACUUUCGAUGGUAAGGUAUUGGCUUACCAUGGUUUCAACGGGUAACGGGGAAUUAGGGUUCGAUUCCGGAGAGGGAGCCUGAGAAACGGCUACCACAUCCAAGGAAGGCAGCAGGCGCGCAAAUUACCCAAUCCCGACACGGGGAGGUAGUGACAAUAAAUACUGAUACAGGGCUCUUUUGGGUCUUGUAAUUGGAAUGAGUACAAUUUAAACCUCUUAACGAGGAACAAUUGGAGGGCAAGUCUGGUGCCAGCAGCCGCGGUAAUUCCAGCUCCAAUAGCGUAUAUUAAAGUUGUUGCAGUUAAAAAGCUCGUAGUUGAAACUUGGGCCUGGCUGGCAGGUCCGCCUCACCGCGUGUACUUGUCCGGCCGGGCCUUUCCUUCUGGAGAACCUCAUGCCCUUCACUGGGUGUGUUGGGGAACCAGGACUUUUACUUUGAAAAAAUUAGAGUGUUCAAAGCAGGCCUUUGCUCGAAUACGUUAGCAUGGAAUAAUAGAAUAGGACGUGCGGUCCUAUUUUGUUGGUUUCUAGGACCGCCGUAAUGAUUAAUAGGGACAGUCGGGGGCAUCAGUAUUCAAUUGUCAGAGGUGAAAUUCUUGGAUUUAUUGAAGACUAACUACUGCGAAAGCAUUUGCCAAGGAUGUUUUCAUUAAUCAGUGAACGAAAGUUAGGGGAUCGAAGACGAUCAGAUACCGUCGUAGUCUUAACCGUAAACUAUGCCGACUAGGGAUCGGGCGAUGUUCUUUUUCUGACUCGCUCGGCACCUUACGAGAAAUCAAAG
Molecule: ribosomal RNA, 1007 nt
Filed under: Ascochyta viciae
Lineage: Eukaryota; Fungi; Ascomycota; Dothideomycetes; Pleosporales; Didymellaceae
Description: SSU rRNA
Rfam family: Eukaryotic small subunit ribosomal RNA
Source: RNAcentral